UUUUAUUUAAGGAACGUAUCCUAAAAUAUAUUCUAGCUCUGAAAAAUAAUUCUUUUAUUUUCGAGCUACAAUUUACAAAAUUACUGAAAUCUAUAUGCUUCUGGACGUAAUUUGUGCGUACUGAUUUUUAGUACCAUCGACGUCGUCAAAUACUGCUUGCAAGGCUCUCAUAUGCUCCAUCAACAUGUGUAUCUGUUGGAUAGAACCAUCAAAUAUUGUGAUACCGUAACCAUCGUCUGACGGUCAUGCAGAUAUAAUCCAAAAGCUGGAUGCCAUUGAGACCCGUCUCACUGCAAUUUAAAAGUCCCUAACAAACAAAAUGCCAGAAAAGGCCGAGAUGCAGACGCAGAGUAAAUUAUUGCGCCCAUGCCGCGUCAUAGUGGCAAAGACGUACCUUUCAAUCAGCCGCAUCACCGGUGACUUGGAGGAUGAGCAUUGCGUGGAGCUCGCGUCGAAAUUGCCCAUGUCAUCGGAAGAGCACUUGUGCUUCGGGGAAGACAAACAUUCACAAAUGAAAAUGGAUAUUAGUUUUAAGUUGUACGUAUUAAUUUUAAG
Molecule: long non-coding RNA, 555 nt
Organism: Bactrocera dorsalis (oriental fruit fly)
Lineage: Eukaryota; Metazoa; Arthropoda; Insecta; Diptera; Tephritidae
Exons: 3
Source: RefSeq, a predicted model, not a curated record